UGGAAGUAGCUCAGUUGGUUAGAGCGCUGCACCGGAAUCGCAGGGCCGUAGGUUCAAUUCCUACCAG
Molecule: transfer RNA, 67 nt
Filed under: Paramuricea clavata
Lineage: Eukaryota; Metazoa; Cnidaria; Anthozoa; Malacalcyonacea; Plexauridae
Description: tRNA-Ser
Rfam family: tRNA (bases 6-65)
About the family: Transfer RNA (tRNA) molecules are approximately 80 nucleotides in length. Their secondary structure includes four short double-helical elements and three loops (D, anti-codon, and T loops).
Source: RNAcentral